UGAUAAAUGCUAUAAAGAAGUGCUAAGUUCUAUGGUAGUGUAUAGUAUGUGGAAUCUAUCAACUGUUCAGGUACUUAUUGAACAGUUGAUCUUUAAAAGGAGAUGGUUUGGUGGAAGUGGAGGAGAAUUCAAUUAAAAAACAACAGGGCACAGUGGUGUACGUUUGUAAUCCCAGCUACUCAGGAGGCUGAGGUGGAAGUACUGCUUAAACCCAGGAGUUAGAGACCAGCUUGGGCAGCAUAGGGAGACCUCAUUUUUUGGGGGGAGGGGGAAUACCCAAAAAACCCAACCAUACACACACAAAACCAACCAAACAAAAAACAACAAUGAACAUUUAUUAUUUCAGAGUAUCCCUGGGUCAGAAUCUGGGUGUGGCUUAGCUGGGUUCUCUGUUUCAGGAUCUCUCGCAAAGAUGCAAACAAAAGUCUUGCCCAGGGCUGCGAUCGCAUCUGCAGGAAGAUUCACUUCCAAGUUUGCUUACAUGGUUGUUGGCAGAAUGCAGCUCCUCAUAGGCUGUUAAGCCAAGGCUUUCAGUUCUUUGGUAGGAAUUCAGUUCCUCACAGGUUUUUUGGUGGCUGGAGAUCUCCUUUAGUUCCUUGGCAUAUAGGUCAGAAUAAUUUAUUUUUGUCCUAGGGUGGGUACUUAAGCUUUGAUAAAACUGAUUUAUAAUGUCUUUAUGGAGUAAAAAUUAGCACAGCAUUCAUGUUCUUAGCUCUAUAUUCAAGAAUAAAAUAAGUGUGUAUAUUCUGUGAAUAUUCUGGUUGGUAUACAUUUUUGGCCUGUAUGUAAAUUAAUAUGUGGGUGACUUAAACAUUCACAGAGAAUUAAUUAUAUAUUGCAAAGGACAAACACAUAAUUCUGUUCAAGAUAGGAAUGUCAAGAAAACUUUAAGAUGAUUUUGUCUUUUAAUCACAUCAUGGUUAUAAUUUCAAAUGAUUUUUCAUUCCCUCCUUUCCUUCCCAUCACACAGACUAUACUGUAAAUAUACUCUCUGAAGUUGCACAACGUGACAAGCUUAAGCUUAGCCACACAAGUAUGUGCAUAUACAAUUAUUUUAUUUUUUGAUCUGAUGCUGACAGUGCUGUGCGUUUUACCUGAACUCAGAAAAUUUAAUUUCUAAAUUAUAAUAUAUGGUUAGAUAUUUACUAAAAUCCUGAAACUAGAAUUUUACUCCCAAUCUUAGACCUUGCAAAUGGUAACUCUAGUUUAGUGUACACAUUUUCAACAUGGGCAAUAUUACUCCCCAAGAGGAAAAAAUUGUUUUUUUGGGAGGGUAUGAAAAAAAGUAUGUUUUAUAUAUAAAGCAUAGAUACACAUACAGUCCAUUAAAGCAUAUACAGUGUAUCUAUGGUGUUAAAAUUUUACAGUGGGGUGCUGAAUAGGAAAAACAGGUCUAAAAGGGUUCCAUAAGGGGGCUGAUAAUGGAAAUAAAAGUUGAGAAACAUGGCCCUAGUGCUAAGCUUAACAGACAGCUGUUUGACGAACCAUCUGGCAUUAGAUUUUUUUCCUGCAUGAUUUCCUGUAUUAGAAUAUAAGCUUCUUAAGGACAGAAAAUGUAAUCUGAUUUGUAUUUUCAAUAAUAGCUAACACAAUAGUUACGUUCAACUGCAUUCAGUAUAUGUAUAUUUAAUUGAAUUAAUAUGGAGUACAUCUUCCCCUACUUGCACUCAUCCUAUUAGCUCUAUAAAAUCUAAAUGUAAUGACCAAAAUUAGUCUAGUAAAGCACAACCUAUCACAAUCUCCCUCACAAAAAUCCUAGUAAAAUAAUGACAAAUUUUAUUCAAAGAAUGGAAAAUCUUCAAAGUAGCAUAAGAGAAGGAGUACAGACUAGAGACAGAGAGAUGAAUCAGGGCUUUGAUUUCCACCUCUUAUCAUUUGCAAGCCGAGGAGCCUUGAGCCAAGUUAUGUAAAGAGAAAGUGAAAGAGGAUAAAAAAGAAUAAAAAAGGGACCUUUCUAGGGGAAGGGUACAAGAAGGGACAAUGGCAUUUCUAGCAGGUUUUUGUUUUGUUUUGAGACAGGGUCUCGCUCUGUCUCCAGGCUGGAGUGCAGUGGUGCGAUCUUGGCUCACUGCAACCUCUGCCUCCCGGGUUCAAGCGAUUCUUGUGCCUCAGCCCUCCCCCCGAGUAGCUGUGAUUACAGGCAAGUGCCACUAGGUUUGGCUAAUUUUUUGUAUUUUCAGUAGAGACAGGGUUUCGCCAUGUUGGCCGGGCUGGUCUCAAACUCCUAGCCUCAUGUGAUUCGCCUGCCUCGGCUCCCAAAGUGCUGGGAUUACAAGCAUGAGCCGCCGUGCCUGGCCCUAACAGUCUUAUAUACACCCAAAAUUUCAGGCAUGCUGAAUUUCUGGCAGUUCCCCAAAUAAUGCAUGGCUCAAAUAUGCCGUAUUUCACACUUACAUAUUUUAUAUAUACAUUCACAUUCCUCUUCCCAGAACAUCAUUUAUUUGUCCUCCAAUACUCAGCUCAGGUCACACUUUUUUUUUUUUUGGAUGGAGUCUUGCUCUGUUGCCCAGGCUAGAGUGCAGUGGCACGAUCCUGGCUCAC
This 2541-nucleotide long non-coding RNA is filed under the name Homo sapiens (human). Its description in RNAcentral is "non-protein coding lnc-ARIH1-3:1". The record is from RNAcentral. Lineage: Eukaryota; Metazoa; Chordata; Mammalia; Primates; Hominidae.